CAUUGUGUUGGAAACCAUCGCAUGGAAGAUUGUCGUUGGCUAUCGGGAGCAUGUGUUUUAUGUGGGCAGCAUGGUCACUUGAGAGCAAAUUGUCCACGCUUUAGAAAGCCAUUCACUCAGCCUAAUGCGCGCGAGACAGGAAAUUCUAUGAAUCGAAGACCCUUUCCCAAUAAGAAUCAAAAAGUGGGACAGACUUCAGGAGGCCAAGCUAGAGUGUUUUCUACAAUGAAUGUCGAGCAAGCGCGUGCGUCUAACGCGGUGGUCUCAGAGAAGGAUCCAAAUCAAGUAACUAAAGCUACUGGACAGUGAAGACUUGGAUAUCGAUAUACUUUUGUGUAUUUCAGAUAGAUGACAUGCGGCGGCUGGUCACGACUCGGUUCGGGGCGUGACA
Impatiens glandulifera is the source of this 391-nucleotide long non-coding RNA. RefSeq lists it as uncharacterized. The transcript has 3 exons. Lineage: Eukaryota; Viridiplantae; Streptophyta; Magnoliopsida; Ericales; Balsaminaceae. The record is from RefSeq and is a predicted model, not a curated record.